Molecule: ribosomal RNA, 762 nt
Filed under: Triticum aestivum (bread wheat)
Lineage: Eukaryota; Viridiplantae; Streptophyta; Magnoliopsida; Poales; Poaceae
Description: partial small subunit ribosomal RNA
Source: RNAcentral
AUGGGGAAGGAGGCGCUGGACUACGUGCUGGUGCCUCUGGGGCUGGUGCUGAUGCUGGGAUACCACGCGUGGCUUCUCCUCCGUAUCCAGCGUCGCCCUGCGACCACCGUCAUCGGCGUCAACGCCAUCAACCGCCGCAUCUGGGUCCGCCACAUCAUGGAGGAGCCGUCCGGGAAGCACGCGGUGCUGGCGGUGCAGACGAUCCGGAACAACAUCAUGGCGUCGACGCUGCUGGCGUCCACGGCCAUCACACUCAGCUCGCUCAUCGCCGUGCUCAUGUCCGGCGGCGGCGGCGGAGGGCCAGGAGCUGGCGGCGGGGGCCUCCUCCCGGACGCGCCGCUGGUGGUGGGCGCCACGGGGGAGGCGGCUCUGUCGGCCAAGUUCUUCGCCAUCCUCGUCUGCUUCCUGGUGGCCUUCCUCCUCAACGUGCAGUCGAUCCGGUACUACAGCCACACCAGCACCCUGGUGAAUGUCCCGAUCCGAGCACACCGCCUCCGCCGCCCGGGCCUUGCCGUGGACUACGUCACCGGCACCCUCAAUCGCGGCAGCUACUUCUGGUCGCUCGGCGUGCGGGCAUUCUACUUCUCCUGCCCGGUCUUCCUCUGGCUCUUCGGGCCCAUCCCCAUGUUCGCCGCCUGCGUCGUCAUGGUCUGCGUGCUCUAUUUCCUCGACGUGUGCGAGGACUGGGAGGAGGAACAGGGCGUGAGUGGUGGUGAUGAGACGUCGGAACGAGGGAAGGAUGCAGGAGGCACGCAAGUUUAG